Molecule: small RNA, 125 nt
Filed under: Marmota monax (woodchuck)
Lineage: Eukaryota; Metazoa; Chordata; Mammalia; Rodentia; Sciuridae
Source: RNAcentral
GCUGGGUGUGGUGGUGCAUGCCUAUAAUCCCAGCAGCUCCGGAGGCUGAGGCAGGAGGAUUGCGAAUUCAAAGUCAGCCUCAGCAUCAGCAAGGCCCUAAACAACUCAGUGAGACCCUGUCUCUA